ACUCCUACGGGAGGCAGCAGUGGGGAAUAUUGGACAAUGGGCGAAAGCCUGAUCCAGCCAUGCCGCGUGUGUGAAGAAGGCCUUUUGGUUGUAAAGCACUUUAAAGCGAGGAGGAGGCUACUUGGAUUAAUACUCUAGGAUAGUGGACGUUACUCGCAGAAUAAGCACCGGCUAACUCUGUGCCAGCAGCCGCGGUAAUACAGAGGGGUGCGAGCGUUAAUCGGAUUUACUGGGGCGUAAAGCGUGCGUAGGCGGCUUUUUAAGUCGGAUGUGAAAUCCCUGAGCUUAAACUUAGGAAUUGCAUUCGAUACUGGGAAGCUAGAGUAUGGGAGAGGAUGGUAGAAUUCCAGGUGUAGCGGUGAAAUGCGUAGAGAUCUGGAGGAAUACCGAUGGCGAAAGGCAGCCAUCUGGCCUAAUACUGACGCUGAGGUACGAAAGCAUGGGGAGCAAACAGGAUUAGAUACCCUGGUAGGAUAGCG
This 479-nucleotide ribosomal RNA is filed under the name uncultured bacterium. RNAcentral describes it as "bacterial SSU rRNA". It matches the Rfam family "Bacterial small subunit ribosomal RNA", at positions 335 to 801 of the family's 1533-position model. The record is from RNAcentral.